UACGGAGGAUGCGAGCGUUAUCCGGAUUUAUUGGGUUUAAAGGGUGCAUAGGCGGGCUUUUAAGUCAGCGGUAAAAAUUCGGGGCUCAACCCCGUCCGGCCGUUGAAACUGGGGGCCUUGAGUGGGCGAGAAGAAGGCGGAAUGCGUGGUGUAGCGGUGAAAUGCAUAGAUAUCACGCAGAACCCCGAUUGCGAAGGCAGCCUUCCGGCGCCCUACUGACGCUGAGGCACGAAAGUGCGGGGAUCGAACAGG
RNAcentral lists this ribosomal RNA (252 nucleotides) under uncultured bacterium. RNAcentral describes it as "partial 16S ribosomal RNA". It matches the Rfam family "Bacterial small subunit ribosomal RNA", at positions 524 to 776 of the family's 1533-position model. The record is from RNAcentral.